GCCAGAGAAGGGAGCCGAGAGAAGUUUGCGACAAAACUCUUGUUGUUUGGCAGAAGUGAUUCAGAAAACUAUGGUUUGGGAGGGGAGGGGGGUUUGGGGGGGGGGGGAGAGAAAAUUCACAUUAUCUGAUCAUAGCAGUUACGAGACGAAGUCUCCCACACUCUCCAAUAAGGGGUGCGGAGACUGGAGAGAUACAACACAAUGGACACCGCUGAAAGUGACUCAACUGAAAGCUCUCAAAGUGUGGGCUGAUAUCAGACUCUGUUCGUUUUGGGACAAAAGUCGGGACUACUGAGCAAAUAGAACAAAAAUGUGCACCGACUCGUGAACGGAAAAUCUGCGGUUUAAGAGCAGAAGGAAUCGGAAGGAUGAGACGUGAAAUUGGAG
Molecule: long non-coding RNA, 387 nt
Organism: Amblyraja radiata (thorny skate)
Lineage: Eukaryota; Metazoa; Chordata; Chondrichthyes; Rajiformes; Rajidae
Exons: 2
Source: RefSeq, a predicted model, not a curated record